AGAGUUUGAUCCUGGCUCAGGAUGAACGCUGGCGGCGUGCCUAACACAUGCAAGUCGAACGGAAAUUACAGAAGGAAGUUUUCGGAUGGAAUUUUGUAAUUUUAGUGGCGGACGGGUGAGUAACACGUGGGUAACCUGCCCUGUACCGGGGGAUAACAGUUGGAAACGGCUGUUAAUACCGCAUAAGCGCACAGCUUCGCAUGAAGCAGUGUGAAAAACUCCGGUGGUACAGGAUGGACCCGCGUCUGAUUAGCUUGUUGGCGGGGUAACGGCCCACCAAGGCGACGAUCAGUAGCCGGCCUGAGAGGGUGAACGGCCACAUUGGGACUGACACACGGCCCAGACUCCU
This 349-nucleotide ribosomal RNA is filed under the name uncultured bacterium. RNAcentral's name for it is "bacterial SSU rRNA". It matches the Rfam family "Bacterial small subunit ribosomal RNA", at positions 8 to 340 of the family's 1533-position model. The record is from RNAcentral.